Molecule: non-coding RNA, 318 nt
Filed under: Anaerocolumna jejuensis DSM 15929
Lineage: Bacteria; Bacillati; Bacillota; Clostridia; Lachnospirales; Lachnospiraceae
Description: Bacterial large subunit ribosomal RNA
Rfam family: Bacterial large subunit ribosomal RNA
Source: Rfam by way of RNAcentral
GGUUCAGAACGUCGUGAGACAGUUCGGUCCCUAUCCGGCGCGGGCGUAGGAUAUUUGAGAGGAGCUGACCUUAGUACGAGAGGACCGGGUUGGACUGACCUCUGGUGUACCGGUUGCACUGCCAAGUGCAUGGCCGGGUAGCCAAGUCGGGAAGGGAUAAACGCUGAAGGCAUCUAAGCGUGAAGCCCCCCUCAAGAUAAGAUAUCCCAUAGCAUAAGCUAGUAAGACCCCUGAAAGACGAUCAGGUGGAUAGGUUAGAGGUGGAAGUGCAGUAAUGCAUGCAGCUGACUAAUACUAAUAGGUCGAGGGCUUGACCUA